This 443-nucleotide ribosomal RNA is filed under the name uncultured bacterium. Its description in RNAcentral is "bacterial SSU rRNA". It matches the Rfam family "Bacterial small subunit ribosomal RNA", at positions 527 to 980 of the family's 1533-position model. The record is from RNAcentral.
GGAGGGUGCAAGCGUUGUCCGGAAUUACUGGGUGUAAAGGGAGCGCAGGCGGACCGGCAAGUUGGAAGUGAAAACUAUGGGCUCAACCCAUAAAUUGCUUUCAAAACUGCUGGCCUUGAGUAGUGCAGAGGUAGGUGGAAUUCCCGGUGUAGCGGUGGAAUGCGUAGAUAUCGGGAGGAACACCAGUGGCGAAGGCGACCUACUGGGCACCAACUGACGCUGAGGCUCGAAAGCAUGGGUAGCAAACAGGAUUAGAUACCCUGGUAGUCCAUGCCGUAAACGAUGAUUACUAGGUGUUGGAGGAUUGACCCCUUCAGUGCCGCAGUUAACACAAUAAGUAAUCCACCUGGGGAGUACGACCGCAAGGUUGAAACUCAAAGGAAUUGACGGGCAGCAGCCGCGGUAAUACGUAGGGGGCAAGCGUUGUCCGGAAUGACUGGGCG